Molecule: RNA transcript, 2085 nt
Organism: Hevea brasiliensis (rubber tree)
Lineage: Eukaryota; Viridiplantae; Streptophyta; Magnoliopsida; Malpighiales; Euphorbiaceae
Exons: 2
Source: RefSeq, a predicted model, not a curated record
ACACCGUCACCAUUAACAAACGGUGGCAAAGUAAGAUUUGUCUAGUGGAGGCUUCUACCGUUUAUCGCCGCCUUAUAAUCAGAAGCUGCAUUGCGUCUCUUUUUUCUUCUUUCUAUUCACGUAAACCGCAGUUAUCUCUCUGUUUCUUUUGACGGAACACACAAGAGCAGCAGAACAAGGGGGAAAAAAAAUCUAGUACAAAAAAAAAAUGGAGGUUGUUGACGAUGGUGAUAAUAUGAUGGAAAUGAUCCGCACCAUCGCCUCUGCUGCUUCUCACUUCCUCGAUACUAUUCCUACAAGAAACAAAACCCAUCAAGCAAAUGAGCUGAAGUAUGGGAGAUUCUCUCCGCACAGCCUUGUCAAUGGAGAAUCAUCACCCAUCCACGCUUUUGUCAAUGGAUUCCAGUGCCUCCUCUCACGAAGAAUUGGAUUUGGAGAUGAAUUGUCAAAUCAUACUUUCCCGUCCACCUGAUAUCAAUUUACCCCUGUCUGCCGAGCGUAGUCCUCCACCACAGUCAUGGAAUUCAGAACCAUGUGAUAUAUUAGAUGUUGGACUUGGUCAGAAGGUUUAUGAGACUGAGAGUUUCCUUAAUGUCCCCAAGGUUGGAAGGAAAUGCGCCAAACGGGUUGAUAGUAUUUGGGGUGCUUGGUUUUUCUUUAGUUUCUACUUUAAACCUGUUUUGAAUGAGAAAUCAAAGGCCAAGAUUACCUGGGACAGCAAUGGAGUUUCUGGAUUCGACAAAUCGGAUCUCAAACUUGACGUUUUCAUGGUUCAGCAUGACAUGGAGAACAUGUACAUGUGGAUUUUCAAGGAGGCCUGAGAAUGCAUUGCAAGAUGCAGCUGAGGAGCUACAUGAAUGGACAUUCUCGUCAAGGAGCGUCCUUUCCAUUUAGUGUGGAUAAGGGUUUUGUCCGAUCACACAGAAUGCAGCGGAAGCAUUAUAGGGACUGUCAAAUCCUCAGUGUGUGCAUGGAAUUGAAGUUGUUCCCUCACCCAAUCUCAUGGGUUUUGAUGAGGAUGAUAAGAAAAGAUGGAUGGAACUCACAGGCAGGGAUUUGAACUUCACAAUCUUACCUGAAGCCAGUAAUUUCAGUUCUUGGAGAAACCUUCCGAACACAGAUUUCGAGCUUGAGAGGCCACCUCCUCCUAUAAAGAGUGCCUCUAAUUCUCACUCAAACAAGCUGCUCAAUGGGUCUGGGCUCAAUUUGUCAACUCAGCCAUCCAGCCAUAGCAACGGUGAUGGGACAGACAUAUCACCUGUCAGCAGCAAAAGAAGGAAGGACUUUUUCCCACAUGGAAGUGAUGAUGAUUGUUAUUUGGCUGUUAGUCCUCCUUCUGAUCGGAUGGCAGAUAUAGAACUUCACCCAAAUGAGCAGCCACAAUGGUUGCAUGAUUUUAGUGGGGUUAUGAAGAACGCUUAUGGGCCAGUGACUGCUGCAAAAACAAUCUAUGAGGAUGAAGAAGGUUACUUGAUUAUUAUCAGUUUGCCUUUCGUGGAUCUGCAGAGGGUGAAGGUCUCUUGGAGAAAUACACUUACUCAUGGUAUAAUUAAGGUAUCUGGUGUGAGCUUAUCUCGCAUGCCAUUCGUCAAGAGACAUGAUAGGACAUUCCAACUUGCAGAUCCAGCUUCUGAGCAUUGCCCACCCGGGGAGUUUGUUAGAGAAAUCCCACUUUCAACUAGAAUUCCUGAGGAUGCUAACAUAAAAGCAUAUUAUGAUGGGCCAGGAUCUGUGCUAGAGAUUCUAGUGCCUAAACUUCGCGAGGGACCAGAAGAGCAUGAGGUUCCUGUUUGCCUUCGUCCUCACCUCGGAGGCAAUGAUCUCAUGUUAACUUGAGGUAGGCAUUGGGCGGUUGCAGUAUUUGGUACUCUAUUGUUUCACUAGGCAUGUACCAUAAAGUGUAAUUGAUGAAACAAAAUGUGCAGCUCAGCUUUGUCUUUUGCAAUUUUUGGCGUCUAAUUGUUAUGGCUUUAUUUUAUUUUAUUUUAUUUAUUUAAUGCAUAUGGUUAGCAUUCUACUGUAACUUGUGUUAGAUUCUUGAAAUUAUAUUUGGUUUAACAUUUAUAUAAAUUAUUAUAUCAUGAA